UACGGGAGGCAGCAGUGGGGAAUAUUGGGCAAUGGAGGCAACUCUGACCCAGCGACGCCGCGUGAAGGAAGAAGGUCUUCGGAUUGUAAACUUUAGUUAUCAGGGACGAAGGAAGUGACGGUACCUGAAGAGAAAGCCACGGCUAACUACGUGCCAGCAGCCGCGGUAAU
Molecule: ribosomal RNA, 170 nt
Filed under: uncultured rumen bacterium
Lineage: Bacteria
Description: partial 16S ribosomal RNA
Rfam family: Bacterial small subunit ribosomal RNA
Source: RNAcentral